Molecule: long non-coding RNA, 695 nt
Organism: Anguilla rostrata (American eel)
Lineage: Eukaryota; Metazoa; Chordata; Actinopteri; Anguilliformes; Anguillidae
Exons: 3
Source: RefSeq, a predicted model, not a curated record
UACAUUGUUUGUCCUUCACGGUUCUCCGUAAUCUAAGUCUACGUGAACGUGAAUGAGGACGAGGUCAUCACGAUCACGUAUGGGAAAAAAUACAAAAAGCAAAUGCACGAGGCAAUUCUUCAAGGAACGACUAGCAUAAGCUGUAUGUUCACAAAUUUACACAAUAAUUUCCAGUGAGCGUGACUUGGUACCAGGAGUGAAAGAUUCUUGUCACGCUCCCAGUUCAUCAAAAUGUAAACUUUGAGACCGGUUUGAAACUCACGGGAAAGUGAGUCGAUAGCAAUUGGCGGACUUUCAAACAACAAUUUGAACUGUUCAUGGCGGCAAUCGAGUUAGGCAAGAAACCUGACUCAAUAAAGAUAGCGCUGCUGCUCACAGUAGCUGGUCCGCAAGGCAUUUAAGUGUUCAAUGCUUUUGAAUUUGGAGAUAAGGACAGGAACACAUUUGAUAAGGGAUCAUCUUAAAACCAAGAGUUAGGAGACCAUACAUUUCUGUCACAGAAUGCCAGAGACUGUCAGCAGCUGUCAGCCUGGGAUGAAGCUUCUGGAUCACUCCUCUGUGCAGCUCCACAGCAUCUCUGUCCAGCUUUAGCCUGGAGAGGGCUGACAUCAGUUAGACCCUCCAACUGUUGUCCCAUGUCUGAAGGAGGUACCGCACAAAAUGAAUGAGUAAAUAAAGUUGAUACUCGAACAGGA